Molecule: transfer RNA, 73 nt
Filed under: Capra hircus (goat)
Lineage: Eukaryota; Metazoa; Chordata; Mammalia; Artiodactyla; Bovidae
Also listed under: 1 other name
Rfam family: tRNA
About the family: Transfer RNA (tRNA) molecules are approximately 80 nucleotides in length. Their secondary structure includes four short double-helical elements and three loops (D, anti-codon, and T loops).
Source: Rfam by way of RNAcentral
UCCCUGGCAGUCCAGUGGCUAAGACUCCAUGCUUCCAAUGCAGGGGGUCUGGGUUCAAUUCCUGGUCAGGGAA